This 578-nucleotide long non-coding RNA is filed under the name Homo sapiens (human). RNAcentral's name for it is "non-protein coding lnc-ZNF736-3:2". The record is from RNAcentral. Lineage: Eukaryota; Metazoa; Chordata; Mammalia; Primates; Hominidae.
GCUACGAGCGGUUAAGAGACUACAGCUCCCAGGAUGUACGGUGAUGGCACCCGUUUGGACUCCGCCCCUCUGCGCGUCUAGAGCUGUUCUCCCGUGCGGAGGGGAUCCUGGCUGUUCCCAAAUCUCGCCUGCCUGCGAGGAGCCAGCGUGGCCCGGGCAGCUGAUCUCAACCUGUGAUUGUGACAUCACCCCUACCUGAGGAAGCCUCUUCCAGCCUGCUCAAGUUUUUCAGAUUAACUAAGUAAUUCAUAUUGUACAUUUCUGAAAUUGAAGUACGCACAGCUUCAAUUCUGUGCAGGGAGGAUGCAGCAGGAGAGAAUAUCCUGGGCACAUCUUUCUGGAGAAUCACUUUUACUACAAGAUUUGUAAGAAACAAAUUUAUUUCCAAGGGUGGCCAACUUGGGUGUCUUCCUCUGCCAGGGUCAAGGACAAGGAUUGAAACGGGUGGGGCCUGGAGCCCUAGCCAAUCAGUGGCGCCAGCGUGAAACUGUCCAAUCAAGUGCGCAGCUACAGAGGAAGAGGCGGCCUCUUCAAUAUGGCGGGGCCUUUGUCUCCUAGCUUCCGGGCUCUGAUCCUAG